This 99-nucleotide microRNA precursor is filed under the name Pelobates cultripes (western spadefoot toad). The record is from RNAcentral. Lineage: Eukaryota; Metazoa; Chordata; Amphibia; Anura; Pelobatidae.
CACUGAGCCUGUAUAUAGAGGUGAAAAAAGACCCUCUAUAGGAGAAGUUAAACUGGUAGUUUAACUUCUCCUAUAGAGGGUCUUUUUUCACCUCUAUAU